UACGGAGGGUGCGAGCGUUGUCCGGAAUCAUUGGGCGUAAAGGGCGCGUAGGUGGCCCGGUCAGCGUGCGGUGAAAGCUCGGGGCUCAACCCCGAGUCGGCCGUGCGAACUGCUGGGCUUGAGCACUGUAGAGGCAGGCGGAAUUCCGGGUGUAGCGGUGGAAUGCGUAGAGAUCCGAAAGAACACCGGUGGCGAAGGCGGCCUGCUGGGCAGUGGCUGACACUGAGGCGCGACAGCGUGGGGAGCAAACAGG
RNAcentral lists this ribosomal RNA (253 nucleotides) under uncultured bacterium. RNAcentral's name for it is "partial 16S ribosomal RNA". It matches the Rfam family "Bacterial small subunit ribosomal RNA", at positions 524 to 776 of the family's 1533-position model. The record is from RNAcentral.